CACUUAGAUGUUCUGGGCUGCACGCGCGCUACACUGAUGCACUCAACGAGUUUACGACCUUGCCCGAUAGGGUUGGGUAAUCUUUUUAAAAUGCAUCGUGAUGGGGAUAGAUUAUUGCAAUUAUUAAUCUUCAACGAGGAAUUCCUAGUAAGCGCGAGUCAUCAGCUCGUGCUGAUUACGUCCCUGCCCUUUGUACACACCGCCCGUCGCUCCUACCGAUUGAGUGCUCAGGUGAAUAAUUCGGACUGCAGCAAUGUUUGGAUCCCGAACGUUGCAGCGGAAAGUUUAGUGAACCUUAUCACUUAGAGGAAGGAGAAGUCGUAACA
This 326-nucleotide ribosomal RNA is filed under the name uncultured eukaryote. Its description in RNAcentral is "partial 18S ribosomal RNA". It matches the Rfam family "Eukaryotic small subunit ribosomal RNA", at positions 1470 to 1796 of the family's 1831-position model. The record is from RNAcentral.